CUAGAAUACCAAGUGUUCAGUCUCAAAUCUGUAAACUCUCUUUUUUAUCUUAAACACAAAAAAUCUUCACUAGAUUUGGUGAUCUUGGGGCUAUAAACCUGAUUAUAUUUAGGUUUUUGAAUUCACAGCCCAGUAUAGGCAUGAUAUACGCAGUCACUCAGUGAUAUGAAACUCUCAGAAACAGAAGAGAAGCUAACAUUUUUCACAAGGAGCUCUCAUUUGGAAGGACAUUCCUGUGAAGAGAAUCAUCAAAAAAGAUUAAAAUAAAUACACAAUGACUACUUCCUGAGGCAUUCUCCAUUAUGACCUAUGACUAUCUUUGCCAUAUAAGGGGAGGCAAAUGUGAAUAUGCAACAGAAGGCUUAGCUGAGCGCAUGCAAAGGAAAUCUGUGUGUAAAUCCAACUGGGAUGAGACAGACAAAGCCCAAAGUAGAGAAGAGACCUGCAGACUGCAAGAAGAGAAUAAAGCAAC
Molecule: long non-coding RNA, 472 nt
Filed under: Callithrix jacchus (white-tufted-ear marmoset)
Lineage: Eukaryota; Metazoa; Chordata; Mammalia; Primates; Cebidae
Description: lncRNA (ENSCJAG00000079747.1)
Source: RNAcentral